Pelobates cultripes (western spadefoot toad) is the source of this 257-nucleotide non-coding RNA. Lineage: Eukaryota; Metazoa; Chordata; Amphibia; Anura; Pelobatidae. The record is from the annotation of a GenBank genome assembly.
CCUGGACUGCUGACUUAGAUCAUUGCAUGGAUUUCUAAGUGCAGAGGAGGGAGUGGCAGGAUGUCAAAGUGUUCUUCUUAAACGGUUUGGCUACUCAAAUGUGGGGGCACGGUACUCCUUAAAGUAGGUAGUGGUUAUGGUGCAUAGUCCCCCUUUAAAACCGACAGAAAUAAACAAAUACAUUACACAUAGGCAACUGGCCAACUAAGGUAAUUUUUAGAUGUGUUUAAAUCAUUGGCAACAUACAUUCACUCGUU